CAGUCGCCGCGGGAAUACAGAGGGUGCGAGCGUUAAUCGGAUUUACUGGGCGUAAAGCGUGCGUAGGCGGCUAAUUGAGUCGGAUGUGAAAUCCCUGAGCUUAACUUAGGAAUUGCAUUCGAUACUGGGAAGCUAGAGUAUGGGAGAGGAUGGUAGAAUUCCAGGUGUAGCGGUGAAAUGCGUAGAGAUCUGGAGGAAUACCGAUGGCGAAGGCAGCCAUCUGGCCUAAUACUGACGCUGAGGUACGAAAGCAUGGGGAGCAAACAGGAUUAGAUACCCCCGUAGUCCCUGUCUCUUAUAC
RNAcentral lists this ribosomal RNA (301 nucleotides) under uncultured bacterium. Its description in RNAcentral is "partial 16S ribosomal RNA". It matches the Rfam family "Bacterial small subunit ribosomal RNA", at positions 509 to 807 of the family's 1533-position model. The record is from RNAcentral.